GACCGCUCCGGUGGUCUAUUGGUGAGUGUCCGCCUCAGAUGCGGGAGAUCGCGGGUUCGAACCCUGGCCGAGUCA
Potamilus streckersoni is the source of this 75-nucleotide non-coding RNA. Lineage: Eukaryota; Metazoa; Mollusca; Bivalvia; Unionida; Unionidae. The record is from the annotation of a GenBank genome assembly.